GAUGAACGCUGGCGGCGUGCCUAAUACAUGCAAGUCGAGCGAACAGACGAGGAGCUUGCUCCUCUGACGUUAGCGGCGGACGGGUGAGUAACACGUGGAUAACCUACCUAUAAGACUGGGAUAACUUCGGGAAACCGGAGCUAAUACCGGAUAAUAUAUUGAACCGCAUGGUUCAAUAGUGAAAGACGGUUUUGCUGUCACUUAUAGAUGGAUCCGCGCCGCAUUAGCUAGUUGGUAAGGUAACGGCUUACCAAGGCAACGAUGCGUAGCCGACCUGAGAGGGUGAUCGGCCACACUGGAACUGAGACACGGUCCAGACUCCUACGGGAGGCAGCAGUAGGGAAUCUUCCGCAAUGGGCGAAAGCCUGACGGAGCAACGCCGCGUGAGUGAUGAAGGUUUUCGGAUCGUAAAACUCUGUUAUUAGGGAAGAACAAAUGUGUAAGUAACUAUGCACGUCUUGACGGUACCUAAUCAGAAAGCGACGGCUAACUACGUG
Molecule: ribosomal RNA, 497 nt
Filed under: uncultured bacterium
Lineage: Bacteria
Description: partial 16S ribosomal RNA
Rfam family: Bacterial small subunit ribosomal RNA
Source: RNAcentral